Dinoponera quadriceps is the source of this 1390-nucleotide long non-coding RNA. RefSeq lists it as uncharacterized. The transcript is spliced from 3 exons. The record is from RefSeq and is a predicted model, not a curated record. NCBI's taxonomy places the organism in Eukaryota, Metazoa, Arthropoda, Insecta, Hymenoptera, Formicidae.
GUGGCCAUUGUAGCUAGGACAUCGUUAAAUAUACUGCGGCAGUUUACGCUAUCCAUGUGUUUUGCGACGGUGAAUGAACAAUUCGCGCUGAACUGACGGAAACGUCACGGUAUACUCAAGAGUGAGGCUCAAAGUGUCCGUCAGAUUCGACAGAUCUUCGGUUUUGAAGUGGCGAAUGACGUAGGAGUAUUGGCAAAUCUGUAUCAUGGUGGUGGCGACUAUCCAAAUAUAACGACAGAACGUGCACAGCGCAUCCGGCCACAGCCCGACGUACCAAAGAACGAGCUCCAUCGAGAUGGAGAAGUCGCUUAAGGACAACUUUAUUUUCUCUCGCAAAUCAAACUAAACAACAAUUAACAAUUCGACAAAAAAGUCACUCAAAAAGGCACAAAAAAGUACUCAACGUGUCAAUGACUUCAAUGUCGCGAAGCCACGAAUUAUUAUAGCGUCAACAGCAUUGGAGAGGCUUUGUAAAAGGCUUUGUAAAACGACUGUACAGAGGCAAGUUGAACACGCAAGCGGUCGACGACUAAAUGCAGCCAUAGUAAGAUAAUCACCGGUCAAUUUUCUGAGACCGUGAGUUAUGGUGCAACACACGAAGCGCUGAGAAUUAAAGUUGCAGCAAUCGAGCGGUGAUUAUACGAUCGAGGAGUUAUAUGGCCGUGAUCGUAUCCACCGCGGUCUUAACAUUGUCUCAUUAUAUCGCAAAAAAUCGUAAUAACGGAACAAAUUAGCAACGUGAAAAAUGCAGAGGAGACAAUUUCUCCACGUAAGUGUUGCACGAGUGGGUGCACAAAAGAUCGCAGAUGACAGAAUACAAGUUCUCAUAACAAAGUCUCAAGCUGGUUGAACGCUCACUGUUACCACCAAAAAACCGGUGACAUACAUAAUCAUUGUGCUCGGAAAGAAUUGCAUUAGCAUGAUAUUGCUGAAGAAGUUCUUGAUGCUGCCCAAGGAAGGAAUGAAUUUAUAGUGCUUACUAAUUAAGAAUCUCGAGACAACUGUGGGUAAGUAGUAGCUCUGUUCCUUUGGCGUGGAUCUCGUCCAACUACAGAUGCAUGAUAUUUAACUGUUGAUAAUCAGUUAUAUAUGGUGUUAAACUGAUGUAUUGAGAAAAAAGAAUGCAAAAGGGAGAUUAAGAUUUUGUUAAAAAUUAUCAAACAAAUUUUCACGCUGUUUUAAGCAGUUUUUACGUUAUGUAAACUGCAGUUCCAGAUAAAAUAAAAACUUUCUCCUAACGACCUGAAAAUUAUCUUCACUUAAUUAUUAUAUAACACACGAAAAACAGUAUAAGUUAGGAAAUUGUUAUCUCUCUGUAUAAAAUUGGUAUGUGUGUGUCUACGCAAGCAGCUAUCGUGUGGAAACAGAAGUAGUUUAUUAUAAAAUACGG